AGCGUCUGUGAUGAGCACCUCUUGAUUACCUACCUUGUUUGAGUUUCCCGUGAGAACACUAUCGUUCUGAGACGCCU
Small nucleolar RNA from Electrophorus electricus (electric eel), 77 nucleotides. RefSeq annotates it as small nucleolar RNA SNORD34. Lineage: Eukaryota; Metazoa; Chordata; Actinopteri; Gymnotiformes; Gymnotidae. The record is from RefSeq and is a predicted model, not a curated record.